RNAcentral lists this transfer RNA (76 nucleotides) under Halioglobus sp. RNAcentral's name for it is "tRNA-Thr". It matches the Rfam family "tRNA". Rfam says of the family: Transfer RNA (tRNA) molecules are approximately 80 nucleotides in length. Their secondary structure includes four short double-helical elements and three loops (D, anti-codon, and T loops). Further hydrogen bonds mediate the characteristic L-shaped molecular structure. tRNAs have two regions of fundamental functional importance: the anti-codon, which is responsible for specific mRNA codon recognition, and the 3' end, to which the tRNAs corresponding amino acid is attached (by aminoacyl-tRNA synthetases). tRNAs cope with the degeneracy of the genetic code in two manners: having more than one tRNA (with a specific anti-codon) for a particular amino acid; and 'wobble' base-pairing, i.e. permitting non-standard base-pairing at the 3rd anti-codon position. The record is from RNAcentral. Lineage: Bacteria; Pseudomonadati; Pseudomonadota; Gammaproteobacteria; Cellvibrionales; Halieaceae.
GCCGCUUUAGCUCAGUUGGCAGAGCAUCACCUCUGUAAGGUGAAGGUCCCUAGUUCGACUCUAGGAGGCGGCUCCA